ACACCAUGGAAGCUGGCCACGCCCGAAGUCGUUACCCUAACCCGUGAGGGAGGGGGAUGCCGAAGGCAGGGCUGGUGACUGGGGUGAAGUCGUAACAAGGUAGCCGUACCGGAAGGUGUGGCUGGAUCACCUCCUUU
Molecule: ribosomal RNA, 137 nt
Filed under: Phormidium cf. bekesiense UCFM_PB
Lineage: Bacteria; Bacillati; Cyanobacteriota; Cyanophyceae; Oscillatoriales; Oscillatoriaceae
Description: partial 16S ribosomal RNA
Rfam family: Bacterial small subunit ribosomal RNA
Source: RNAcentral